Long non-coding RNA from Bombina bombina (fire-bellied toad), 173 nucleotides. RefSeq lists it as uncharacterized. The record is from RefSeq and is a predicted model, not a curated record. NCBI's taxonomy places the organism in Eukaryota, Metazoa, Chordata, Amphibia, Anura, Bombinatoridae. The transcript has 3 exons.
CUCUUCUAUAAAUACGAUUUCUGUUUAUCCAACAUAUGCCAAUCAAGCUGGAAUUAUUUAAUGGUGGAUUGGAAUAAUAACAGCCCCCAUAUAUGUAUACUCCUAACCAAGCCCCAAAGUUUUAUGAGAAUACCGACAGAUACCUACUCCAGCUUGCUCCUGUUUGUGUAAAG